RNAcentral lists this ribosomal RNA (464 nucleotides) under uncultured bacterium. RNAcentral describes it as "partial 16S ribosomal RNA". It matches the Rfam family "Bacterial small subunit ribosomal RNA", at positions 29 to 507 of the family's 1533-position model. The record is from RNAcentral.
ACGAACGCUGGCGGCGUGCUUAACCCAUGCAAGUCGCGCGGUAAGGCCCCUUCGGGGGUACACGAGCGGCGAACGGGUGAGUAACACGUGAGCAAUCUGCCCAUCACAUCGGGAUAACUCCGGGAAACCGAAGCUAAUACCGAAUACGACCACCUCCGGCAUCGGAUGGUGGUGGAAAGUUCCGGCGGUGAUGGAUGAGCUCGCGGCCUAUCAGCUUGUUGGUGGGGUAACGGCCCACCAAGGCUUCGACGGGUAGCCGGCCUGAGAGGGUGACCGGCCACACUGGGACUGAGACACGGCCCAGACUCCUACGGGAGGCAGCAGUGGGGAAUAUUGGACAAUGGGCGAAAGCCUGAUCCAGCAACGCCGCGUGAGGGAUGACGGCCUUCGGGUUGUAAACCUCUUUCAGCAGGGACGAAGCGCAAGUGACGGUACCUGCAGAAGAAGCACCGGCCAACUACGUG